UACAGAGGGUGCGAGCGUUGUUCGGAAUACUGGGCGUAAAGCGUAUGCAGGCGGAUCGUUAAGUCGGGGGUGAAAUCCCGAGGCUCAACCUCGGAACUGCCUUCGAUACUGGCGAUCUUGAGUCCGGGAGAGGUGAGUGGAACUCCGAGUGUAGAGGUGAAAUUCGUAGAUAUUCGGAAGAACACCAGUGGCGAAGGCGGCUCACUGGCCCGGUACUGACGCUGAGAUACGAAAGCGUGGGGAGCAAACAGG
Molecule: ribosomal RNA, 252 nt
Filed under: uncultured bacterium
Lineage: Bacteria
Description: partial 16S ribosomal RNA
Rfam family: Bacterial small subunit ribosomal RNA
Source: RNAcentral